Molecule: ribosomal RNA, 369 nt
Filed under: Gammaproteobacteria bacterium
Lineage: Bacteria; Pseudomonadati; Pseudomonadota; Gammaproteobacteria
Description: bacterial SSU rRNA
Rfam family: Bacterial small subunit ribosomal RNA
Source: RNAcentral
UUAAACUGGAGAGUUUGAUCCUGGCUCAGAUUGAACGCUGGCGGUAUGCUUAACACAUGCAAGUCGAACGGUAACGAUGGGAGCUUGCUCCCAGGCGACGAGUGGCGGACGGGUGAGUAAUGCAUAGGAAUCUGCCUAGUAGUGGGGGACAACCUGGGGAAACUCAGGCUAAUACCGCAUACGACCUACGGGUGAAAGUGGGGGAUCUUCGGACCUCACGCUAUUAGAUGAGCCUAUGCCUGAUUAGCUUGUUGGUGGGGUAAUGGCCUACCAAGGCAACGAUCAGUAGCUGGUCUGAGAGGAUGAUCAGCCACACUGGGACUGAGACACGGCCCAGACUCCUACGGGAGGCAGCAGUGGGGAAUAUUG